GUCCAAAAGGCACCAUCGAAAGGGGAAGAUCUGGCUUGAUGGAGACUAGAAGGGAUAGGCUUGAGAUUACCCUUAUCUAUUUCACCAAGAGGAGAGCAAGAGCAGUUUUCAUUGUCUUGCUGGCAGAGAAACACUUCAUGCACAGUAAGCCUCUUUCCUUAUCAGAGGGGCAGAAAAAACAAUUCUAGAUAUUUCAGCAGCAAAAUGGACAGA
Molecule: long non-coding RNA, 213 nt
Filed under: Phascolarctos cinereus (koala)
Lineage: Eukaryota; Metazoa; Chordata; Mammalia; Diprotodontia; Phascolarctidae
Description: lncRNA (ENSPCIG00000018116.2)
Source: RNAcentral